Molecule: ribosomal RNA, 1443 nt
Filed under: uncultured Alphaproteobacteria bacterium
Lineage: Bacteria; Pseudomonadati; Pseudomonadota; Alphaproteobacteria
Description: uncultured alpha proteobacterium 16S ribosomal RNA
Rfam family: Bacterial small subunit ribosomal RNA
Source: RNAcentral
UUAGAGUUUGAUCCUGGCUCAGAACGAACGCUGGCGGCAGGCCUAACACAUGCAAGUCGAGCGAUCCCUUCGGGGACAGCGGCGGACGGGUGAGUAACGCGUGGGAACGUGCCCUUUCCUUCGGAAUAGCCCAUGGAAACGUGGAUUAAUGCCGGAUGCGCCCUUUGGGGGAAAGAUUUAUCGGGGAAGGAUCGGCCCGCGUUGGAUUAGGUAGUUGGUGGGGUAAUGGCCUACCAAGCCGACGAUCCAUAGCUGGUUUGAGAGGAUGAUCAGCCACACUGGGACUGAGACACGGCCCAGACUCCUACGGGAGGCAGCAGUGGGGAAUCUUAGACAAUGGGGGAAACCCUGAUCUAGCCAUGCCGCGUGAGCGAUGAAGGCCUUAGGGUUGUAAAGCUCUUUCGCUGGGGAAGAUAAUGACGGUACCCAGUAAAGAAGCCCCGGCUAACUCCGUGCCAGCAGCCGCGGUAAUACGGAGGGGGCUAGCGUUGUUCGGAAUUACUGGGCGUAAAGCGCGCGUAGGCGGGCUGGAAAGUUGGGGGUGAAAUCCCGGGGCUCAACCCCGGAACUGCCCUCAAAACUGACAGUCUGGAGUUCGAGAGAGGUGAGUGGAAUUCCGAGUGUAGAGGUGAAAUCAGUUGAUAUCUGGUGGACAGCAGUGGGGAAGGCUAGCUGCAUCUGGCUACGAUGUGNCAAUGAGCGCGCGAACACGUGAGUAGCAUAACGACGAUUAGAUACCCGUAGUAGUACGACGUCNGUAAUCGAUGAAUGCCAGUACGUCGGGCAGCGUGCUGUAUCGUUGUCGACUCCUAACGGAUUGAGCAUGUCCGUCCUGAGGAGUACGUCCGCAAGGUGAAAACUCAAAGGAAUUGACGGGGGCCCGCACAAGCGGUGGAGCAUGUGGUAUAAUUAGAAGCAACGCGCAGAACCUUGCCAACCCUUGACAUGGGGGUCGCGGCGCCGGAGACGGCGCUUUCAGUUCGGCUGGGCCCCACACAGGUGCUGCAUGGCUGUCGUCAGCUGGUGUUGUGAGAUGGUCGGUUAAGUCCGGCAACGAGCGCAACCCACGUCCUCAGUUGCCAGCAUUCAGUUGGGCACUCUGGGGAAACUGCCGAUGAUAAGUCGGAGGAAGGUGUGGAUGACGUCAAGUCCUCAUGGCCCUUACGGGUUGGGCUACACGCGUGCUACAAUGGCAUCUACAGAGGGUUAAUCCCGAAAAGAUGUUUCAGUUCGGAUCGGGGUCUGCAACUCGACCCCGGGAAGUCGGAAUCGGUAGUAAUCGCGGAACAGCAUGCCGCGGGGAAUACGUUCCCGGGCCUUGUACACGCCGCCCGUCACACCAUGGGAGUUGGUUUUACCCGACGACGGUGCGCUAACCCUUCGGGGAGGCAGCCGGCCACGGUAAGAUCAGCGACUGGGGUGAAGUCGUAACAAGGUAGCCGU